CCCAGACUCCUACGGGAGGCAGCAGUGGGGAAUAUUGCACAAUGGGGGAAACCCUGAUGCAGCGACGCCGCGUGAAGGAUGAAGUAUUUCGGUAUGUAAACUUCUAUCAGCAGGGAAGAAAAUGACGGUACCUGACCAAGAAGCCCCGGCUAACUACGUGCCAGCAGCCGCGGUAAUACGUAGGGGGCAAGCGUUAUCCGGAUUUACUGGGUGUAAAGGGAGCGUAGACGGCAGGGCAAGUCUGGAGUGAAAGGCAGGGGCCCAACCCCUGGACUGCUCUGGAAACUGUCCGGCUGGAGUGCAGGAGAGGUAAGUGGAAUUCCUAGUGUAGCGGUGAAAUGCGUAGAUAUUAGGAGGAACACCAGUGGCGAAGGCGGCUUACUGGACUGUAACUGACGUUGAGGCUCGAAAGCGUGGGGAGCAAACAGGAUUAGAUACCCUUGUAGA
Molecule: ribosomal RNA, 447 nt
Filed under: uncultured bacterium
Lineage: Bacteria
Description: bacterial SSU rRNA
Rfam family: Bacterial small subunit ribosomal RNA
Source: RNAcentral